GUCCAGUUGAUGGGCUGGACGCCCGCGACGACCUCGCUGAGGAGAGGGGCGGUCCAAUCGAAGAUCUGGUUUCGAUCCCUUUGAACGACGGAAAUGUGGAGCAUAUGGUGAAGAUCGGCUCCAACUUGGGGGAAGAGGUACGGACGCAUCUCAUCGAUUUUCAACGAAAGAACGCAGACUUUUUCGCUUGGAUUCUAGCAGACAUGUCGGAGAUUGACACGG
Molecule: long non-coding RNA, 222 nt
Filed under: Elaeis guineensis (African oil palm)
Lineage: Eukaryota; Viridiplantae; Streptophyta; Magnoliopsida; Arecales; Arecaceae
Description: long non-coding RNA (EGUI_LNC029676)
Source: RNAcentral